RNAcentral lists this ribosomal RNA (497 nucleotides) under uncultured bacterium. Its description in RNAcentral is "partial 16S ribosomal RNA". It matches the Rfam family "Bacterial small subunit ribosomal RNA", at positions 28 to 507 of the family's 1533-position model. The record is from RNAcentral.
GAUGAACGCUGGCGGCGUGCCUAAUACAUGCAAGUCGAGCGAACAGACGAGGAGCUUGCUCCUCUGACGUUAGCGGCGGACGGGUGAGUAACACGUGGAUAACCUACCUAUAAGACUGGGAUAACUUCGGGAAACCGGAGCUAAUACCGGAUAAUAUAUUGAACCGCAUGGUUCAAUAGUGAAAGACGGUUUUGCUGUCACUUAUAGAUGGAUCCGCGCCGCAUUAGCUAGUUGGUAAGGUAACGGCUUACCAAGGCGACGUUGCGUAGCCGACCUGAGAGGGUGAUCGGCCACACUGGAACUGAGACACGGUCCAGACUCCUACGGGAGGCAGCAGUAGGGAAUCUUCCGCAAUGGGCGAAAGCUUGACGGAGCAACGCCGCGUGAGUGAUGAAGGUCUUCGGAUCGUAAAACUCUGUUAUUAGGGAAGAACAAAUGUGUAAGUAACUAUGCACGUCUUGACGGUACCUAAUCAGAAAGCCACGGCUAACUACGUG